GGCGUGCCUAAUACAUGCAAGUCGAGCGAAUGGAUUAAGAGCUUGCUCUUAUGAAGUUAGCGGCGGACGGGUGAGUAACACGUGGGUAACCUGCCCAUAAGACUGGGAUAACUCCGGGAAACCGGGGCUAAUACCGGAUAACAUUUUGAACCGCAUGGUUCGAAAUUGAAAGGCGGCUUCGGCUGUCACUUAUGGAUGGACCCGCGUCGCAUUAGCUAGUUGGUGAGGUAACGGCUCACCAAGGCAACGAUGCGUAGCCGACCUGAGAGGGUGAUCGGCCACACUGGGACUGAGACACGGCCCAGACUCCUACGGGAGGCAGCAGUAGGGAAUCUUCCGCAAUGGACGAAAGUCUGACGGAGCAACGCCGCGUGAGUGAUGAAGGCUUUCGGGUCGUAAAACUCUGUUGUUAGGGAAGAACAAGUGCUAGUUGAAUAAGCUGGCACCUUGACGGUACCUAACCAGAAAGCCACGGCUAACUACGUGCCAGCA
This 492-nucleotide ribosomal RNA is filed under the name Bacillus cereus. Its description in RNAcentral is "bacterial SSU rRNA". It matches the Rfam family "Bacterial small subunit ribosomal RNA", at positions 41 to 513 of the family's 1533-position model. Lineage: Bacteria; Bacillati; Bacillota; Bacilli; Caryophanales; Bacillaceae. The record is from RNAcentral.